AUAUUCUGAAUUCUGUAAUUAUUACAUAGACAAAAAUGCCAGACCUGUUCCUUACAUUUUAUUUUAUUUUUAUUUUUCAUGUCAGGAGCCACUUGAGAAACUGUAAGUUGCUUCUGGUGUGAGCCAUUUGCAAGCACAUUGCCCAGGGGACACCUGGAUAUUUUGAUGUUUUUCCCAUCCAUGUGGAAGGCUUCUCUCAUGUCCCUGAAUGGAGCUGGAGCUGACAGAGGGAACUCAUCUGCACUCUUCCCCGGGUUGGAUUCGAACCGGCAACCUUCAGGUUUCCCCAUUACCUUUUCAAUCUUCUUACUCAGAAUAUACUUUUAAAGAAGAAAAGACAAUAUGGCUACAAAAUGCUUUUGAUUGGUGGCUCUUCAUCUGGAAUGAGUCAGAGCUCAAUAAAUACAAAGGAAGUGUUCCUUCUAAAUCAAUUGUGAGAAUGUACCCCUCUGCUGUUGCUGGUCAUCGACUGUAAUAAAUAAAUAUAUACAUGGUACCUCUCUGCAGAAAGUUUGUUAUUUAUUAUAUCUGGUGAAAUUGGCAUUUUCGAAUAUUGUUUAAAGGUGAGGAUUAUAAUAUUCAUUUUUAAAAUACCCCUUUAAAUAGAGACGAGGUGAGAGCACUAGGGCUUUGGAGCUUGGGAUCUUGUGACAGAUCUAAGCCAGCUUUAUGAACUGGGCUUUGUGAAAUGAUAAGAUGUGGAUGCCAAGAGGGAGAACCAUAGAAACUUAUAUUCCUGCCAUUCAGAAGAUUUCCUUCCUGAUCUGUCAGGAUUACAGAGAAAAUACUAAAAUCAAAGAUUUUUGUGUAGCAUUUCAUGGGACUGAAACAAAAGAGGCAUUUGCAGUUCAUAAAUAAUAUUUAAAUUUCUAAUUCUUUUGAUGAAUAUUUGUUUUGCAGUCUCUAUGAUGGCACAACUUCACUUUCAUAUUGAGUCGUUUCCUAUUAAAGAGCUAUAUCACGUGACUUGAAUUUGUGUAAGUGUUUAAAGCUAUACCAAUGGCAUGUUAGUACCACAAAGGGUAUUGCUAGGUGAAGUGGCCCUCUGUGAUGUCACUGGAUUGGCUGUUGCUAGGUGAAGUUACUCUUGUGAUGUCACUGGGAAAGAAAGGGGAUCUGUAUAUGAAGGGAAGCAGGGAGGAAGGAAAGGGCCACAAAGACAGCCUGCCCAGAAGGUUACCAUUUCAAGAAGUAGGCCUUCUUGGAGCUGCAGAAGGGUGAAAGUUGGCAGGCAGCAGGCCCAAUGACACCCAGGCAAUGCUGAGUAUGUGUGCUAGUUUUUCAUAAACAAAGGAGUUUCCAAAGGUCUGGCAUCUAUGCAUGAACUGAACUGCAAGAUUUGCAGCAAUCAUAGCUCUUGGAAGGCAAUGCAAGAACCAGUGACGCAACAAGAGGGAGGGAAUGAAAACCAGCUGAGUACAUCCUUUGGGUCAUCAGCUAUGCUGAUUGCCCCUCACAUUGAUUGAUGUUCGACCCAUAGACAUGCUGUCAACUUGACAUGCAAGAAUUUCCUCCAGCUGAUGUGCCCAGGGAGUCUUUUGUUUUAUCACCAGCCUUGCUCCGCCGUCAAGAGAGGGAUUGGAUAAUAAGGAUGUAAAAAUCAAAGCCCCUGAUCUAAUAAGACUUUUGUGUGGAAUUAGUGGGAACAAAUACUGACAGAUUGCUAACGUGUAACAGUGAAAAUUACCAACAUGAUGAGACUUGCACCCUAACCGGCACCUCAUGUUAUCCCAUUAACAAAAUUGAUGAGACAAAAUUGCUAAUAGGAGAAAACUUUCAGGUUGGAUUAUAUCAUCCCUCUAAAGAAUUGAUAAUGAAACAAAAGGAAACAAAUGGAAUAUGAGGGAGCAAUUAUGGUCAAAAACCUGUCCUCAAACCGAAAUUGACACAUUCAAGAAGAAACUGAAAUGAGUGGGAUUCAGACUUCGACUUAGAGUGGAUGGAAACCAAUGGGAUUUAAGCUUGGCUGUAAAUAUGGCCAAGGUGAUACUCAACCCAGAGAAUUUCAUUUCACAUUCAACCUGGGGGCAGUAAGGGCUACCACUUGAAUACACAUUUGUUCAUUUGUGUGUUUAAUUUAUCUUGAGCUUCUCAUUUAGGAUCAUCUCCCUAAAUGACUUAUAAUGAAAU
Long non-coding RNA from Anolis carolinensis (green anole), 2130 nucleotides. NCBI's taxonomy places the organism in Eukaryota, Metazoa, Chordata, Lepidosauria, Squamata, Anolidae. The record is from Ensembl.